GACGAACGCUGGCGGCGUGCUUAACACAUGCCAGUCGAACGGAAAGGCCCCUUUGGGGGUACUCGAGUGGCGAGCGGGUGCGUAACACGUGAGUAACCUGCCCUUGACUUCGGGAUAACUUCAGGAAACUGGGGCUAAUACCGGAUAGGAAUCCUUGCUGCAUGGUGGGGGUUGGAAAGCUUCGGCGGUUUUGGAUGGACUCGCGGCUUAUCAGCUUGUUGGUGGGGUAGUGGCUUACCAAGGCUUUGACGGGUAGCCGGCCUGAGAGGGCGACCGGCCACAUUGGGACUGAGAUACGGCCCAGACUCCUACGGGAGGCAGCAGUGGGGAAUAUUGCACAAUGGGCGGAAGCCUGAUGCAGCAACGCCGCGUGCGGGAUGACGGCCUUCGGGUUGUAAACCGCUUUCAGCAGGGGCGAAGCUUGUGGUGACGGUACCUGCAGAAGAAGCACCGGCUAACUACGUG
RNAcentral lists this ribosomal RNA (465 nucleotides) under uncultured bacterium. RNAcentral's name for it is "partial 16S ribosomal RNA". It matches the Rfam family "Bacterial small subunit ribosomal RNA", at positions 28 to 507 of the family's 1533-position model. The record is from RNAcentral.